GAUGAACGCUGGCGGUAUGCUUAACACAUGCCAGUCGAACGGACUCUUCGGAGUUAGUGGCGGACGGGUGAGUAACGCGUGAGAAUCUGGCUUUGGGUUCGGGACAACCACUGGAAACGGUGGCUAAUACCGGAUGUGCCGAGGGGUAAAAGAGAAAUUGCCUGAAGAUGAGCUCGCGUCUGAUUAGCUAGUUGGUGAGGUAAAGGCUCACCAAGGCAGCGAUCAGUAGCUGGUCUGAGAGGAUGACCAGCCACACUGGGACUGAGACACGGCCCAGACUCCUACGGGAGGCAGCAGUGGGGAAUUUUCCGCAAUGGGCGAAAGCCUGACGGAGCAAUACCGCGUGAGGGAAGAAGGCUCUUGGGUUGUAAACCUCUUUUCUUAGGGAAGAACAAAAUGACGGUACCUAAGGAAUCAGCAUCGGCUAACUCCGUG
RNAcentral lists this ribosomal RNA (435 nucleotides) under uncultured bacterium. RNAcentral's name for it is "partial 16S ribosomal RNA". It matches the Rfam family "Bacterial small subunit ribosomal RNA", at positions 28 to 507 of the family's 1533-position model. The record is from RNAcentral.